UGGGGAAUAUUGCACAAUGGGCGAAAGCCUGAUGCAGCGACGCCGCGUGAGGGAUGACGGCCUUCGGGUUGUAAACCUCUUUCAGCAGGGACGAAGCGCAAGUGACGGUACCUGCAGAAGAAGCACCGGCUAACUACGUGCCAGCAGCCGCGGUAAUACGUAGGGUGCAAGCGUUGUCCGGAAUUACUGGGCGUAAAGAGUUCGUAGGCGGUUUGUCGCCUCGUUUGUGAAAACCAGCAGCUCAACUGCUGGCUUGCAGGCGAUACGGGCAGACUUGAGUACUGCAGGGGAGACUGGAAUUCCUGGUGUAGCGGUGAAAUGCGCAGAUGUCAGGAGGAACACCGGUGGAGAAGGCGGGUCUCUGGGCAGUAACUGACGCUGAGGAACGAAAGCGUGGGUAGCGAACAGG
Molecule: ribosomal RNA, 409 nt
Filed under: bacterium
Lineage: Bacteria
Description: partial 16S ribosomal RNA
Rfam family: Bacterial small subunit ribosomal RNA
Source: RNAcentral